RNAcentral lists this non-coding RNA (117 nucleotides) under Pan paniscus (pygmy chimpanzee). Lineage: Eukaryota; Metazoa; Chordata; Mammalia; Primates; Hominidae. RNAcentral also lists the same sequence under 1 other name. The record is from Rfam by way of RNAcentral.
GCCGGGCAUGGUGGCUCAUGCCUGUAAUCCCAGCACUUUGGGAGGCCGAGGUGGGUGGAUCACCUGAGGUCAGGAGUUCAAGACCAGCCUGGCCAACAUGGUGAAACCCCGUCUCUA